This 252-nucleotide ribosomal RNA is filed under the name uncultured bacterium. RNAcentral's name for it is "partial 16S ribosomal RNA". It matches the Rfam family "Bacterial small subunit ribosomal RNA", at positions 524 to 776 of the family's 1533-position model. The record is from RNAcentral.
UACGUAGGUCCCGAGCGUUGUCCGGAUUUAUUGGGCGUAAAGCGAGCGCAGGUGGUUUAUUAAGUCUGGUGUAAAAGGCAGUGGCUCAACCAUUGUAUGCAUUGGAAACUGGUAGACUUGAGUGCAGGAGAGGAGAGUGGAAUUCCAUGUGUAGCGGUGAAAUGCGUAGAUAUAUGGAGGAACACCGGUGGCGAAAGCGGCUCUCUGGCCUGUAACUGACACUGAGGCUCGAAAGCGCGGGGAGCAAACAGG